GUGAAUCAUCGAAUCUUUGAACGCACCUUGCGCUCCUUGGUAUUCCGAGGAGCAUGCCUGUUUGAGUGUCUUGAAGUCAUCAACCCCCUCCGUUUUACUGCGGAUCGGGUUGGAUAUGGGGGCUUUGCUGCCGUGAGGCGGCUCCCCUGAAAUGUGUCGGUUGGGCCUGUGGGUCGAACUCGACUGGGCGUUGUACCAUCCUCGCUCGACAGAGAUUGUUCCCCUUCUGUGCCCUCCCUCGACUUGCCUCUCAGAGUGGCGGUCAACUUUUGAAAUCUGACCUCAAAUCAGGUAGGACUACCCGCUGAACUUAAGCAUAUCAAUAAGCGGAGGA
Molecule: unclassified non-coding RNA, 334 nt
Filed under: Trechispora sp.
Lineage: Eukaryota; Fungi; Basidiomycota; Agaricomycetes; Trechisporales; Hydnodontaceae
Description: partial contains 5.8S ribosomal RNA, internal transcribed spacer 2, and large subunit ribosomal RNA
Rfam family: 5.8S ribosomal RNA (bases 1-71)
Source: RNAcentral